GAUGAACGCUGGCGGCGUGCCUAAUACAUGCAAGUCGAGCGAACAGACGAGGAGCUUGCUCCUUUGACGUUAGCGGCGGACGGGUGAGUAACACGUGGGUAACCUACCUAUAAGACUGGGAUAACUUCGGGAAACCGGAGCUAAUACCGGAUAAUAUUUCGAACCGCAUGGUUCGAUAGUGAAAGAUGGCUUUGCUAUCACUUAUAGAUGGAUCUGCGCCGUAUUAGCUAGUUGGUAAGGUAACGGCUUACCAAGGCAACGAUACGUAGCCGACCUGAGAGGGUGAUCGGCCACACUGGAACUGAGACACGGUCCAGACUCCUACGGGAGGCAGCAGUAGGGAAUCUUCCGCAAUGGGCGAAAGCCUGACGGAGCAACGCCGCGUGAGUGAUGAAGGUCUUCGGAUCGUAAAACUCUGUUAUUAGGGAAGAACAAAUGUGUAAGUAACUAUGCACGUCUUGACGGUACCUAAUCAGAAAGCCACGGCUAACUACGUG
This 497-nucleotide ribosomal RNA is filed under the name uncultured bacterium. Its description in RNAcentral is "partial 16S ribosomal RNA". It matches the Rfam family "Bacterial small subunit ribosomal RNA", at positions 28 to 507 of the family's 1533-position model. The record is from RNAcentral.